GACGAACGCUAGCGGCGUGCUUAACACAUGCAAGUCGAACGGAAAGGCCCUGCUUUUGUGGGGUGCUCGAGUGGCGAACGGGUGAGUAACACGUGAGUAACCUGCCCUUGACUUUGGGAUAACUUCAGGAAACUGGGGCUAAUACCGGAUAGGAGCUCCUGCUGCAUGGUGGGGGUUGGAAAGUUUCGGCGGUUGGGGAUGGACUCGCGGCUUAUCAGCUUGUUGGUGGGGUAGUGGCUUACCAAGGCUUUGACGGGUAGCCGGCCUGAGAGGGUGACCGGCCACAUUGGGACUGAGAUACGGCCCAGACUCCUACGGGAGGCAGCAGUGGGGAAUAUUGCACAAUGGGCGGAAGCCUGAUGCAGCAACGCCGCGUGCGGGAUGACGGCCUUCGGGUUGUAAACCGCUUUCGCCUGUGACGAAGCGUGAGUGACGGUAAUGGGUAAUGAAGCACCGGCUAACUACGUG
This 468-nucleotide ribosomal RNA is filed under the name uncultured bacterium. RNAcentral's name for it is "partial 16S ribosomal RNA". It matches the Rfam family "Bacterial small subunit ribosomal RNA", at positions 28 to 507 of the family's 1533-position model. The record is from RNAcentral.